CCUACGGGAGGCAGCAGUAGGGAAUCUUCCGCAAUGGACGAAAGUCUGACGGAGCAACGCCGCGUGAGUGAAGAAGGUUUUCGGAUCGUAAAACUCUGUUGUCAGGGAAGAACAAGUACGGGAGUAACUGCCCGUACCUUGACGGUACCUGGCCAGAAAGCCACGGCUAACUACGUGCCAGCAGCCGCGGUAAUACGUAGGUGGCAAGCGUUGUCCGGAAUUAUUGGGCGUAAAGCGCGCGCAGGCGGCCUUUUAAGUCUGAUGUGAAAGCCCCCGGCUCAACCGGGGAGGGUCAUUGGAAACUGGAAGGCUUGAGUGCAGAAGAGAAGAGCGGAAUUCCACGUGUAGCGGUGAAAUGCGUAGAGAUGUGGAGGAACACCAGUGGCGAAGGCGGCUCUUUGGUCUGUAACUGACGCUGAGGCGCGAAAGCGUGGGGAGCAAACAGGAUUAGAUACCCUGGUAGUCCACGCCGUAAACGAUGAGUGCUAAGUGUUGGGGGGUUUCCGCCCCGUCAGUGCUGCAGACGUAACGACAUUAAGUACGACGUCCGCCGUCGGGGUAGGUACGGCCGGCCGAACGGCGUGAACGUUACGAAAGUAGUUAAGUUAGUACGGCGUUGAGACGUUGCGACGGACGACGACGAGGGAGGAGG
Molecule: ribosomal RNA, 652 nt
Filed under: uncultured bacterium
Lineage: Bacteria
Description: bacterial SSU rRNA
Rfam family: Bacterial small subunit ribosomal RNA (bases 1-548)
Source: RNAcentral